RNAcentral lists this microRNA precursor (58 nucleotides) under Fasciola hepatica (liver fluke). RNAcentral's name for it is "microRNA fhe-mir-745b precursor". Its record names the gene fhe-mir-745b. Lineage: Eukaryota; Metazoa; Platyhelminthes; Trematoda; Plagiorchiida; Fasciolidae. The record is from miRBase by way of RNAcentral.
GUGCUAUUCCCUUGGCUGCAUUCCAGUGCAAUAAAAUGAAAGCUGCCAAGCGAAGGGC